This is a long non-coding RNA of Lucilia sericata (common green bottle fly), 589 nucleotides long. RefSeq lists it as uncharacterized. The transcript is spliced from 4 exons. NCBI's taxonomy places the organism in Eukaryota, Metazoa, Arthropoda, Insecta, Diptera, Calliphoridae. The record is from RefSeq and is a predicted model, not a curated record.
AGGUUGGUUGAUUUUUCAUUAUCUAACUAACGAGAGAGUUCAAGUAUAAUAUGGUUAGUAGACAUAAAAUUUAAAUGAAAAUCACAGCAGCAACAACAACUAUAACGAAAGAAUUCUAAUUUAUCAAAAUAAUGCAACAUUUAAAGACCUCCAGAGGCAAUAGUUAUUAGGAGCAACCUCAUUAUCUUUUAACAAAUGUUCUAAAUAAUGAUAAUGAUGUUGAGAGCAACAUCAUAAGCACAAAUUUCAUCACUUAAUAAGGCGUUUUUUUUUAUAAAAUCCCAAGCCUGAAUUUCUAAUGGGAAGUUGCGGAAUAAUUGGACUUUAAUAUAAACAUUAAAAAUGUUUACACUACGAAAACAAAUGGCAUGCGUUUCUGCAACAGCUAUAAAAUAAGAAAAUUAAAAACACGAAACAAAAUAUUCGGUUAUUUUAAUCUAAUUAAUAAAGCAAAUAUUUAGAUAAUGAAAAGCUAAAACAAAAAAAUACAAAAUUAACUAAAACAUUUAAACAAAGUACAUUAAGAGAGAAAAUAGUGUAGUUGUUUAUAAAAACUUCGCACCUCAUUACGAACAAAAAAAAAAAAAAA